GAAUGUCCCACAGAUCUAGGCUGCAGGACGUUACUUUGCUGAAGAUACUUGGGCAGAAUAAAUGGAGAAUCAUCUUUUGCCAGCCUUGUUGUUAAUCCUAUGGCUUCAUCUUGUCCGAGUGAGCAGCGAACUGAAUGUGGAACAGAGUCCUCAGUCACUGCAUGUUCCGGAAGGAAAGAGCACCAACUUCACCUGCCGCUUCCCCACCAGCUCUUUCUAUGCUUUACACUGGUACAGGUGGGAACCUGCAAAAAGCCCCACCAUCCUGCUUGUAAUUAGCGUAAAUGGGGAUGUAAAGAAAAAAGGUCGAGUUACAAUUACUCUUAAUACUACAGAGGGUUACAGCUACUUGUACAUCAAAGGAUCCCAGCCCGAAGACACAGCCACAUACCUCUGUGCAUUUGGCACAGUGCUUUUAAGGCACCUGCAGCCCAUACUCAAACCUGGGUCUGGUGCUACUCGGGUCCCAGUGUUGAUGAAGAGCCCUGUGUGGGAUGAAAAAGGCAAAUUCAAUGGAUUGCAGUAUUUUCAAUAA
Non-coding RNA from Pipistrellus kuhlii (Kuhl's pipistrelle), 535 nucleotides. The record is from the annotation of a RefSeq genome assembly. NCBI's taxonomy places the organism in Eukaryota, Metazoa, Chordata, Mammalia, Chiroptera, Vespertilionidae.